RNAcentral lists this ribosomal RNA (1163 nucleotides) under Staphylococcus aureus. RNAcentral's name for it is "bacterial SSU rRNA". It matches the Rfam family "Bacterial small subunit ribosomal RNA", at positions 1 to 1144 of the family's 1533-position model. The record is from RNAcentral. Lineage: Bacteria; Bacillati; Bacillota; Bacilli; Caryophanales; Staphylococcaceae.
UUUUAUGGAGAGUUUGAUCCUGGCUCAGGAUGAACGCUGGCGGCGUGCCUAAUACAUGCAAGUCGAGCGAACGGACGAGAAGCUUGCUUCUCUGAUGUUAGCGGCGGACGGGUGAGUAACACGUGGAUAACCUACCUAUAAGACUGGGAUAACUUCGGGAAACCGGAGCUAAUACCGGAUAAUAUUUUGAACCGCAUGGUUCAAAAGUGAAAGACGGUCUUGCUGUCACUUAUAGAUGGAUCCGCGCUGCAUUAGCUAGUUGGUAAGGUAACGGCUUACCAAGGCAACGAUGCAUAGCCGACCUGAGAGGGUGAUCGGCCACACUGGAACUGAGACACGGUCCAGACUCCUACGGGAGGCAGCAGUAGGGAAUCUUCCGCAAUGGGCGAAAGCCUGACGGAGCAACGCCGCGUGAGUGAUGAAGGUCUUCGGAUCGUAAAACUCUGUUAUUAGGGAAGAACAUAUGUGUAAGUAACUGUGCACAUCUUGACGGUACCUAAUCAGAAAGCCAUGGCUAACUACGUGCCAGCAGCCGCGGUAAUACGUAGGUGGCAAGCGUUAUCCGGAAUUAUUGGGCGUAAAGCGCGCGUAGGCGGUUUUUUAAGUCUGAUGUGAAAGCCCACGGCUCAACCGUGGAGGGUCAUUGGAAACUGGAAAACUUGAGUGCAGAAGAGGAAAGUGGAAUUCCAUGUGUAGCGGUGAAAUGCGCAGAGAUAUGGAGGAACACCAGUGGCGAAGGCGACUUUCUGGUCUGUAACUGACGCUGAUGUGCGAAAGCGUGGGGAUCAAACAGGAUUAGAUACCCUGGUAGUCCACGCCGUAAACGAUGAGUGCUAAGUGUUAGGGGGUUUCCGCCCCUUAGUGCUGCAGCUAACGCAUUAAGCACUCCGCCUGGGGAGUACGACCGCAAGGUUGAAACUCAAAGGAAUUGACGGGGACCCGCACAAGCGGUGGAGCAUGUGGUUUAAUUCGAAGCAACGCGAAGAACCUUACCAAAUCUUGACAUCCUUUGACAACUCUAGAGAUAGAGCCUUCCCCUUCGGGGGACAAAGUGACAGGUGGUGCAUGGUUGUCGUCAGCUCGUGUCGUGAGAUGUUGGGUUAAGUCCCGCAACGAGCGCAACCCUUAAGCUUAGUUGCCAUCAUUAAGUUGGGCACUCUAAG